AAACCUCCGCAAUGUACGAAAGUGCGACGGGGGGAUCCCAAGUGUUAUGCUUUUUUGUAUAACUUUUCAUUAGUGUAAAAAGCUUUUAGAAUAAGAGCUGGGCAAGACCGGUGCCAGCCGCCGCGGUAACACCGGCAGCUCGAGUGGUAGCUGUUUUUAUUGGGCCUAAAGCGUUCGUAGCCGGUUUGAUAAGUCUUUGGUGAAAGCUUGUAGCUUAACUAUAAGAAUUGCUGGAGAUACUAUCAGACUUGAAGUCGGGAGAGGUUAGAGGUACUACCGGGGUAGGGGUGAAAUCCUAUAAUCCUGGGAGGACCACCUGUGGCGAAGGCGUCUAACUGGAACGAUCUUGACGGUGAGUAGCGAAAGCCAGGGGCGCGAACCGGAUUAGAUACCCGGGUAGUCCUGGCCGUAAACGAUGUGGACUUGGUGUUGGAAUGGCUUUGAGUUGUUCCGGUGCCGAAGGGAAGCUGUUAAGUCCACCGCCUGGGAAGUACGGUCGCAAGACUGAAACUUAAAGGAAUU
This 522-nucleotide ribosomal RNA is filed under the name uncultured bacterium. RNAcentral describes it as "bacterial SSU rRNA". It matches the Rfam family "Archaeal small subunit ribosomal RNA", at positions 344 to 866 of the family's 1478-position model. The record is from RNAcentral.